CUACGGGCGGCUGCAGUGAGGAAUAUUGCACAAUGGGGGGAACCCUGAUGCAGCAACGCCGCGUGGAGGAUGACGCAUUUCGGUGUGUAAACUCCUCUUAUAUGUCAAGAAAAUGACGGUAGCAUAUGAAUAAGCACCGGCUAACUCCGUGCCAGCAGCCGCGGUAAUACGGAGGGUGCAAGCGUUACUCGGAAUCACUGGGCGUAAAGGACGCGUAGGCGGGUUGGAAAGUCAGGUGUGAAAUCCUACAGCUUAACUGUAGAACUGCACUUGAAACUUCUAAUCUAGAGUAUGGGAGGGGGAGAUGGAAUUAGUGGUGUAGGGGUAAAAUCCGUAGAUAUCACUAGGAAUACCUAAAGCGAAGGCGAUCUCCUGGAACAUUACUGACGCCAAGGCGUGAAAGCGUGGGGAGCAAACAGGAUUAGAUACCCCGGUAGUC
RNAcentral lists this ribosomal RNA (439 nucleotides) under uncultured bacterium. RNAcentral describes it as "partial 16S ribosomal RNA". It matches the Rfam family "Bacterial small subunit ribosomal RNA", at positions 339 to 795 of the family's 1533-position model. The record is from RNAcentral.